AUUGAACGCUGGCGGCAGGCCUAACACAUGCAAGUCGAACGGUAACAGGAAGCAGCUUGCUGCUUUGCUGACGAGUGGCGGACGGGUGAGUAAUGUCUGGGAAACUGCCCGAUGGAGGGGGAUAACUACUGGAAACGGUAGCUAAUACCGCAUAACGUCGCAAGACCAAAGAGGGGGACCUUAGGGCCUCUUGCCAUCGGAUGUGCCCAGAUGGGAUUAGCUAGUAGGUGGGGUAACGGCUCACCUAGGCGACGAUCCCUAGCUGGUCUGAGAGGAUGACCAGCCACAUUGGAACUGAGACACGGUCCAGACUCCUACGGGAGGCAGCAGUGGGGAAUAUUGCACAAUGGGCGCAAGCCUGAUGCAGCCAUGCCGCGUGUAUGAAGAAGGCCUUCGGGUUGUAAAGUACUUUCAGCGGGGAGGAAGGGAGUAAAGUUAAUACCUUUGCUCAUUGACGUUACCCGCAGAAGAAGCACCGGCUAACUCCGUG
RNAcentral lists this ribosomal RNA (490 nucleotides) under uncultured bacterium. RNAcentral describes it as "partial 16S ribosomal RNA". It matches the Rfam family "Bacterial small subunit ribosomal RNA", at positions 30 to 507 of the family's 1533-position model. The record is from RNAcentral.